GCUAUCUACAGGCUUAACACAUGCAAGUCGAGGGGCAUCAGGAAGAAAGCUUGCUUUCUUUGCUGGCGACCGGCGCACGGGUGAGUAACACGUAUCCAACCUGCCCUUUACUUGGGGAUAGCCUUUCGAAAGAAAGAUUAAUACCCGAUGGCAUAAUGAUUCCGCAUGGUUUCAUUAUUAAAGGAUUCCGGUAAAGGAUGGGGAUGCGUUCCAUUAGGUUGUUGGUGAGGUAACGGCUCACCAAGCCUUCGAUGGAUAGGGGUUCUGAGAGGAAGGUCCCCCACAUUGGAACUGAGACACGGUCCAAACUCCUACGGGAGGCAGCAGUGAGGAAUAUUGGUCAAUGGGCGCUAGCCUGAACCAGCCAAGUAGCGUGAAGGAUGAAGGCUCUAUGGGUCGUAAACUUCUUUUAUAUAAGAAUAAAGUGCAGUAUGUAUACUGUUUUGUAUGUAUUAUAUGAAUAAGGAUCGGCUAACUCCGUGCCAGCAGCCGCGGUAAUACGGAGGAUCCGAGCGUUAUCCGGAUUUAUUGGGUUUAAAGGGAGCGUAGGUGGACUGGUAAGUCAGUUGUGAAAGUUUGCGGCUCAACCGUAAAAUUGCAGUUGAUACUGUCAGUCUUGAGUACAGUAGAGGUGGGCGGAAUUCGUGGUGUAGCGGUGAAAUGCUUAGAUAUCACGAAGAACUCCGAUUGCGAAGGCAGCUCACUGGACUGCAACUGACACUGAUGCUCGAAAGUGUGGGUAUCAAACAGGAUUAGAUACCCUGGUAGUCCACACAGUAAACGAUGAAUACUCGCUGUUUGCGAUAUACAGUAAGCGGCCAAGCGAAAGCAUUAAGUAUUCCACCUGGGGAGUACGCCGGCAACGGUGAAACUCAAAGGAAUUGACGGGGGCCCGCACAAGCGGAGGAACAUGUGGUUUAAUUCGAUGAUACGCGAGGAGCCUUACCCGGGCUUAAAUUGCAGUGGAAUGAUGUGGAAACAUGUCAGUGAGCAAUCACCGCUGUGAAGGUGCCGCAUGGUUGUCGUCAGCUCGUGCCGUGAGGUGUCGGCUUAAGUGCCAUAACGAGCGCAACCCUUAUCUUUAGUUACUAACAGGUUAUGCUGAGGACUCUAGAGAGACUGCCGUCGUAAGAUGUGAGGAAGGUGGGGAUGACGUCAAAUCAGCACGGCCCUUACGUCCGGGGCUACACACGUGUUACAAUGGGGGGUACAGAAGGCAGCUAGCGGGUGACCGUAUGCUAAUCCCAAAAGCCUCUCUCAGUUCGGAUCGAAGUCUGCAACCCGACUUCGUGAAGCUGGAUUCGCUAGUAAUCGCGCAUCAGCCACGGCGCGGUGAAUACGUUCCCGGGCCUUGUACACACCGCCCGUCAAGCCAUGGGAGCCGGGGGUACCUGAAGUACGUAACCGCAAGGAUCGUCCUAGGGUAAAACUGGUGACUG
Molecule: ribosomal RNA, 1439 nt
Filed under: uncultured organism
Description: SSU rRNA
Rfam family: Bacterial small subunit ribosomal RNA
Source: RNAcentral